This is a long non-coding RNA of Mustela lutreola (European mink), 424 nucleotides long. RefSeq lists it as uncharacterized. Lineage: Eukaryota; Metazoa; Chordata; Mammalia; Carnivora; Mustelidae. The record is from RefSeq and is a predicted model, not a curated record. The transcript is spliced from 3 exons.
UGGGACCUCUCUGUGCCCUGCAUAGGUGACAGGGGACAUCAUCUCAGAGGCCAUCCUAAGUUGACUGGAUGGAGUUAUCCUGCUCCUCCCCGCCCCAGGGACCUUAGAGCUAAUUUGAGGGACUGGGAAAGUUGCAAAAUGAAAAUUAACUGUCAGAGAAGAUUGAUUCGUUUGAUGUCUAACCAGGAGCAGCCUUUUAUUACUGUAAAAUGCUAAUUUCCAUUCGUCGCCAAUGACAGGAUGGCGGGGAGCGGCAGUGAGAAGCCUCAUUAUGUGCUGCUCUGCCUCGAAGAACAAGCCUCGCGCUGCAACCCCAGCACCCGGGCCCGCGAACAGAGCAUUAAAUUGUUGGAAAUGGCUCCCCUUCACUCGCAGAACAAAGAUGUUUUCUCCAGAAUAAAUUGCCUCCCUCUCUGAGCGCUGA